This 502-nucleotide ribosomal RNA is filed under the name uncultured bacterium. RNAcentral's name for it is "bacterial SSU rRNA". It matches the Rfam family "Bacterial small subunit ribosomal RNA", at positions 8 to 503 of the family's 1533-position model. The record is from RNAcentral.
AGAGUUUGAUCCUGGCUCAGAUUGAACGCUGGCGGCAGGCUUAACACAUGCAAGUCGAGCGGUAACAGGGAUAGCUUGCUAUCUGCUGACGAGCGGCGGACGGGUGAGUAAUGCUUGGGAAUAUGCCUUAUGGUGGGGGACAACAGUUGGAAACGACUGCUAAUACCGCAUAACGUCUACGGACCAAAGGGGGGGAUCUUCGGACCUCUCGCCAUUUGAUUAGCCCAAGUGAGAUUAGCUAGUUGGUAAGGUAAUGGCUUACCAAGGCGACGAUCUCUAGCUGGUUUGAGAGGAUGAUCAGCCACACUGGGACUGAGACACGGCCCAGACUCCUACGGGAGGCAGCAGUGGGGAAUAUUGCACAAUGGGCGAAAGCCUGAUGCAGCCAUGCCGCGUGUGUGAAGAAGGCCUUCGGGUUGUAAAGCACUUUCAGUUGUGAGGAAAGGGAUGUAGUUAAUAGCUGCAUUCUGUGACGUAACAACAGAAGAAGCACCGCUAACUU